RNAcentral lists this unclassified non-coding RNA (503 nucleotides) under Hevea brasiliensis (rubber tree). The record is from RNAcentral. Lineage: Eukaryota; Viridiplantae; Streptophyta; Magnoliopsida; Malpighiales; Euphorbiaceae.
CUAGUCUCUUUUGAGAUUGCAUUGUGUGGAAGAAGAAAAGCCAAGUAAAUUGUUGAGGAAAAAAUAAGAAAAAAAAAUCUCUAACCAUACGCCACAACAGCCUCACUCUACCUCCCCCAAUUCAUUCUUUCUCCUCACAUACUGAUACACGCAGCCUCCAUUCCAUUUUCAUUCUCAGUAUCAACAUCUCUCUCUUGCUCUCCUCGUCGCCGUCGUCGCCUUUCUCAUCAGCUCGUUGUCCAUGCACUCGUCCUCAUCAUGUCUCAGAGACUCAAACUCACUGUCGAUUCGGCCUCUGGCCUAUAGUUGGUGUCGACUCGCUCUUUACGACGAAAACAUAUCCUCUUUGCAACAAAUAUUAGACUUCCUUAUCCUUGCAUGUUGUUCAUUUUGUUGCUCUUUUUUUUGGUUUAUUCUGUUGGUUAUUGGAUUGCUUAAUUUGUUGCAUGUUGAUUGCUAUGAGAAUGCCUCUAAAUUGCUGUGAAAGUGUAACUUGAGGGAGA